This is a non-coding RNA of Pelobates cultripes (western spadefoot toad), 208 nucleotides long. The record is from the annotation of a GenBank genome assembly. NCBI's taxonomy places the organism in Eukaryota, Metazoa, Chordata, Amphibia, Anura, Pelobatidae.
GGUGCUGAGGAGGAUCGAGACUCUCGCUUUUCGUGCAGUUGGGUGGUUACUAUGGAAAGUGAUUUUAUAGUGUUUGUUUUGUAGUCUGUGAGUGUCGGUGUCUCUAAGGUGUGUUUCUUGUAAGAGGGAUCGAAACUUGGCGGCAUUUGAGGUCUUGAAGGAGGUGAGCUUGUUUUUCAGGUGUGUUCAGGACUCUGCAGUGUUGUGU